GUGACCCAAGAUGUCACACACAUGACCACUGGGUCACAUGUGCAUCAGUAGGUGGAAGAGAGGAGAGGCUAUGUCUUUGCUCAGUGUUCUGACCUGUGAACAUCUGAAUGAUUAAUAGACUAACAUU
This is a small nucleolar RNA of Mastomys coucha (southern multimammate mouse), 127 nucleotides long. RefSeq annotates it as small nucleolar RNA SNORA17. The transcript has a single exon. Lineage: Eukaryota; Metazoa; Chordata; Mammalia; Rodentia; Muridae. The record is from RefSeq and is a predicted model, not a curated record.